GCAAUCUGCCCUGCACUCUGGGACAAGCCCUGGAAACGGGGUCUAAUACCGGAUACUGACCCGCUUGGGCAUCCAAGCGGUUCGAAAGCUCCGGCGGUGCAGGAUGAGCCCGCGGCCUAUCAGCUUGUUGGUGAGGUAAUGGCUCACCAAGGCGACGACGGGUAGCCGGCCUGAGAGGGCGACCGGCCACACUGGGACUGAGACACGGCCCAGACUCCUACGGGAGGCAGCAGUGGGGAAUAUUGCACAAUGGGCGAAAGCCUGAUGCAGCGACGCCGCGUGAGGGAUGACGGCCUUCGGGUUGUAAACCUCUUUCAGCAGGGAAGAAGCGAAAGUGACGGUACCUGCAGAAGAAGCGCCGGCUAACUACGUGCCAGCAGCCGCGGUAAUACGUAGGGCGCGAGCGUUGUCCGGAAUUAUUGGGCGUAAAGAGCUCGUAGGCGGCUUGUCACGUCGGUUGUGAAAGCCCGGGGCUUAACCCCGGGUCUGCAGUCGAUACGGGCAGGCUAGAGUUCGGUAGGGGAGAUCGGAAUUCCUGGUGUAGCGGUGAAAUGCGCAGAUAUCAGGAGGAACACCGGUGGCGAAGGCGGAUCUCUGGGCCGAUACUGACGCUGAGGAGCGAAAGCGUGGGGAGCGAACA
Molecule: ribosomal RNA, 640 nt
Rfam family: Bacterial small subunit ribosomal RNA